GAGGGCGACCGGCCACACUGGAACUGAGACACGGUCCAGACUCCUACGGGAGGCAGCAGUGGGGAAUCUUCCGCAAUGGGCGCAAGCCUGACGGAGCAACGCCGCGUGAGCGAAGAAGGCUUUCGGGUUGUAAAGCUCUGUCCCGGGGGAAGAACAAAUGACGGUACCCCGGGAGGAAGCCCCGGCUAACUACGUGCCAGCAGCCGCGGUAAAACGUAGGGGGCGAGCGUUGUCCGGAAUUACUGGGCGUAAAGGGCGUGUAGGCGGUUGCGCAAGUCAGUAGUGAAACCCGCCGGCUUAACCGGCGGCUGGCUACUGAAACUGCGCGACUUGAGUGCAGUAGAGGGGAGUGGAAUUCCCAGUGUAGCGGUGAAAUGCGUAGAUAUUGGGAGGAACACCAGUGGCGAAAGCGGCUCCCUGGCCUGUAACUGACGCUGAGGCGCGAAAGCGUGGGUAGCAAACAGGAUUAGAUACCCUGGUAGUCCACGCCGUAAACGAUGGGUGCUAGGUGUUGCGGGUAUCGACCCCCGCAGUGCCGCAGUUAACGCAAUAAGCACCCCGCCUGGGGAGUACGGCCGCAAGGCUGAAACUCAAAGGAAUUGACGGGGGCCCGCACAAGCGGUGGAGCAUGUGGUUUAAUUCGACGCAACGCGAAGAACCUUACCAGGUCUUGACAUCCCCUGCCAGUCGUAGAAAUACGACCUUCUCCUUUGUGGAGACAGGGAGACAGGUGGUGCAUGGUUGUCGUCAGCUCGUGUCGUGAGAUGUUGGGUUAAGUCCCGCAACGAGCGCAACCCCUACCUUUAGUUGCCAGCAAGUAAAGUUGGGCACUCUGGAGGGACUGCCGUUGACAAAACGGAGGAAGG
This 866-nucleotide ribosomal RNA is filed under the name uncultured Peptococcaceae bacterium. Its description in RNAcentral is "bacterial SSU rRNA". It matches the Rfam family "Bacterial small subunit ribosomal RNA", at positions 296 to 1173 of the family's 1533-position model. The record is from RNAcentral. Lineage: Bacteria; Bacillati; Bacillota; Clostridia; Eubacteriales; Peptococcaceae.